CCCCUGAUAGUUUAUACGCUAAACCAUUGUGUUUUCAAUACAAAAAAAUUCAAAGAAUUUAGGGUU
RNAcentral lists this transfer RNA (66 nucleotides) under Friesea antarctica. RNAcentral describes it as "tRNA-Glu". Lineage: Eukaryota; Metazoa; Arthropoda; Collembola; Poduromorpha; Neanuridae. The record is from RNAcentral.